This is a long non-coding RNA of Bubalus bubalis (water buffalo), 1835 nucleotides long. RefSeq lists it as uncharacterized. The record is from RefSeq and is a predicted model, not a curated record. NCBI's taxonomy places the organism in Eukaryota, Metazoa, Chordata, Mammalia, Artiodactyla, Bovidae. The transcript has 2 exons.
ACCAACUCAAUAGACGUGAGUUUGAGUAAGCUCUGGGAGUUGGUGAUGGAAAGGGAAGCCUGGAGUGCUGCCGUCCAUGGGGUCGCAAAGAGUCGGACAUGACUGAGCGACUGAACUGUCUGAGAAGUGCACGUAGAAUGGGAGUAUUGCUGUGGCCACACUGGGGAAAUAUAAUCACUCACAGAUAAUCUUUCAGGUUUUAUAUACAUACAGCCUCAUUCUUUUUUUCAACUUACUUAUUUGGCUGCACUGGGUCUUAGUUGCAGUAUGUGAGAUCUAGGUCCCUGACCAGGGAUCGAACCAGGCCCCCUGCAUUGGGAGCAUGGCGUCCUAGCUAUUGGACCACCAGAGAAGUCCCUGUCACAGCCUUGUUCUUUAAAAAAAAUUUUUUUUAAUAUCCAAAAGUACAAAGGAGAAAAACUGAUGUAUCACUUCCCAGGUACUCUUUUUUUUUUAGAUUAUAUGUCUACUUAGAAAAAUAACAAUAUUUUGCCCAAAAUAUAUGUCAGUAUUUUAAAUGCACCUUGCUUUUUUGUUUAAUAACAUAUCUUAAAAUUCAGGUGUUUUUUGGUUUUUUUUUUCCACUUCGGCAUGCAAGAUUGACUACAUUCUUUUAAAUGGUCAGAUAAUUCUUUUGUAUGUUUAACGUUUUUAUGUAUCCUUUAAGGUUUUUAACCAGACCCUCUAAUGAAAGACGUUUAAUUGGUCACCAGUUUGUUGCUAUUGUGACCAAUUAUGCAGGAAACAUCCUUGUACGUUUUCCUUUUCUUUGGCAUAUGUUUGCAUAUAUUUGUAAGGUAAGUUUUAUUUUGUUUUGUUUUUAUGUAUUUGGCUGCCGUGACGGGUCUUAGUUGCAGUAUGCAGGAUCUUCAUUGCGGGCACAGACUCUCUCUCUAGUUGUGCAUGGGCUUAGUUGCUCCAGAGAAAUGUGGGAUUUUAGUUCCCCAAACAGCAUCCCUGGAAUUGCAAGGCAGAUUCUUAACCACGAACCACCAGGGAAGUCCCUGUAUGGUAAAUUUUUAUUAACACAACCACCAGGAGAAAGGUCUUGAACAUUUAAAAAUUCAAAAUAUUCAUUGGAAAGGUUGAUCUGUUAUCUCUUCUCUUUUUAAAAAAAUACUUAUUUUUAAAAUUUUUAUUAUCUAUUUGGCUGUGCUAAGUCUUAGUUUCGGCAUGUGACUCUUCGUUGCAGUAUGUAGGAUCUAGUUCCCUGACCAAGGAUCAUAUCUGGGCCCCAUGCAUUGGGAGUGUGGAGUCUUAGCCCGUGGACCACCAGGGAACUGGACAUGACCUGGACCACAGGCAAGCGAUCAGAGAGGAUCUAACCUAGGAGAAGGCCCCAAACCACCUGAGCAGCGAGUCUUCUCCCAACAUGAAGAAGCUUGAAAAGGCCUGACUCAUCCAGCAGCCAGCCCCAGCCCAGCCCAGCCCAGUGCCUCAGGAAGAGUCAGCAAACAGCCUGUGUGGUUUCUUUCCAGUCCCAGCUUGCCUUGACCUGGUGGAAGGCAAGAAGUAGACACGCCACUCCUGGCCAGCUUGGGAAUGGUGGUGUCAGCACUCUGUCGAGGGCUGGGCACAAGCCCACACACCACACCCUCAGGGUGAGCCUGAGGGCGAGGUGAGGAGGCAUCUGCCAUUUCUGUCCAUUUGUUGUGGACCCAGGUAAUCAGGAAAAAUAGGAGGUGGACAGGUUCUGAACCUAUAGCCAGCUGAGGUCUUAGACUUGACCGUUCCCAUGUAUUCCCUCAGAGGUUGCCCACAUCACAGUUCACUUGGAAUUCUGUGACAGACCCAGCAGAAGGGACAGAAUGGUGCUUAAUAAAUGUUUCAGUGGA